This 415-nucleotide ribosomal RNA is filed under the name uncultured microorganism. RNAcentral describes it as "bacterial SSU rRNA". It matches the Rfam family "Bacterial small subunit ribosomal RNA", at positions 9 to 420 of the family's 1533-position model. The record is from RNAcentral.
GAGUUUGAUCGUGGCUCAGAUUGAACGCUGGCGGCAUGCCUUACACAUGCAAGUCGAACGGCAGCAUGAUCUAGCUUGCUAGAUUGAUGGCGAGUGGCGAACGGGUGAGUAAUACAUCGGAACGUGCCCUGUAGUGGGGGAUAACUAGUCGAAAGAUUAGCUAAUACCGCAUACGACCUGAGGGUGAAAGUGGGGGACCGCAAGGCCUCAUGCUAUAGGAGCGGCCGAUGUCUGAUUAGCUAGUUGGUGGGUAAAGGCCCACCAAGGCGACGAUCAGUAGCUGGUCUGAGAGGACGAUCAGCCACACUGGGACUGAGACACGGCCCAGACUCCUACGGGAGGCAGCAGUGGGGAAUUUUGGGACAAUGGGCGAAAGCCUGAUCCAGCAAUGCCGCGUGUGUGAAGAAGGCCUCGG